This 253-nucleotide ribosomal RNA is filed under the name uncultured Ohtaekwangia sp. RNAcentral describes it as "partial 16S ribosomal RNA". It matches the Rfam family "Bacterial small subunit ribosomal RNA", at positions 524 to 776 of the family's 1533-position model. The record is from RNAcentral. Lineage: Bacteria; Pseudomonadati; Bacteroidota; Cytophagia; Cytophagales; Fulvivirgaceae.
UACGUAGGUGGCAAGCGUUGUCCGGAUUUAUUGGGUUUAAAGGGUGCGUAGGCGGUUCUGUAAGUCAGUGGUGAAAUACAAUAGCUCAACUAUUGAGGUGCCAUUGAUACUGCGGAACUUGAGUACAGACGAGGUAGGCGGAAUUGACGGUGUAGCGGUGAAAUGCUUAGAUAUCGUCAAGAACACCGAUAGCGAAGGCAGCUUACUAGACUGUAACUGACGCUGAGGCACGAAAGUGUGGGGAUCAAACAGG